GUAGAUGAAGUUUGAUAAAACAUUAGAUUGUGAUUCUAAAGACAGGGGUUCGAACCCCCUCAUCCACC
RNAcentral lists this transfer RNA (68 nucleotides) under Pseudaesopia japonica (wavyband sole). Its description in RNAcentral is "tRNA-His". It matches the Rfam family "tRNA". From Rfam's summary of the family: Transfer RNA (tRNA) molecules are approximately 80 nucleotides in length. Their secondary structure includes four short double-helical elements and three loops (D, anti-codon, and T loops). Further hydrogen bonds mediate the characteristic L-shaped molecular structure. tRNAs have two regions of fundamental functional importance: the anti-codon, which is responsible for specific mRNA codon recognition, and the 3' end, to which the tRNAs corresponding amino acid is attached (by aminoacyl-tRNA synthetases). tRNAs cope with the degeneracy of the genetic code in two manners: having more than one tRNA (with a specific anti-codon) for a particular amino acid; and 'wobble' base-pairing, i.e. permitting non-standard base-pairing at the 3rd anti-codon position. Lineage: Eukaryota; Metazoa; Chordata; Actinopteri; Pleuronectiformes; Soleidae. The record is from RNAcentral.